Molecule: ribosomal RNA, 254 nt
Filed under: uncultured bacterium
Lineage: Bacteria
Description: partial 16S ribosomal RNA
Rfam family: Bacterial small subunit ribosomal RNA
Source: RNAcentral
UACGUAGGGGGCAAGCGUUGUCCGGAUUUAUUGGGCGUAAAGAGCGUGUAGGCGGCUUUACAGGUCCGUUGUGAAAACUCCAGGCUCAACCUGGAGAUGCCACCCGAUACUGCUAUGGCUUGAGUUCGGUAGGGGACCACGGAAUUCCUGGUGUAGCGGUGAAAUGCGCGGAUAUCAGGAGGAACACCGAUGGCGAAGGCAGGUCUCUGGGCAUUAACUGACGCUGAGGAGCGAAAGCAUGGGGAGCGAACAGG